CUUCCUCUCCUUUCGCAUAAAAUGAGGUGCAGGAGGUGGCCACACAGAGUUCUGAGGUCAGUCAGGACUCUGGAGUCGUUAGGAAUGGAACGGAAAUUCAGUGCGGGUUUUAAACAGGG
Molecule: non-coding RNA, 119 nt
Organism: Callorhinus ursinus (northern fur seal)
Lineage: Eukaryota; Metazoa; Chordata; Mammalia; Carnivora; Otariidae
Source: RefSeq, a predicted model, not a curated record